GAUCACAUGGGUUCUGGUCACAGGAGACAUUUUGAGACAGAAAUAACUAGGCGGAAGUGACUAGGUCCUGCCAGGCAUGCGCGACCAUGCCCAACCAUGGGGGCGUACUGUGAAUCCAUAUCAAACAAAGAAAUGGAAGCAAGGCAAAUCUUACUGUCAAGAUUGGAUAUCUGCGAAAAUCAACACUGAUCAUCUCUUCUAAAGUGAAAUCGAAUGGAAUAAUCAGUUUCUCAUCUACUAUGAAUGCAAGCAUAUAUAUGUAUAUUAGUGUUUACACACAGUAAUGUUUAUAUCUAAGAAAUGAUAGAUUGAGAGAAACAAAAGCAUCAUUCCCUGAAGAGGUAAAGCACGGUGGUGAUCAUAAAGGAAGAUGAUGCUGGACACCAAGUUGCUGUCUCUCACAUUCUUGUAAACUAUUGCAAUAUUGGCAUGUACUCCAAAGUUCUAGAGAAAGAAUAUAUUUUAUUUAUACACUUAC
This is a non-coding RNA of Peromyscus maniculatus bairdii (prairie deer mouse), 478 nucleotides long. The record is from RefSeq and is a predicted model, not a curated record. NCBI's taxonomy places the organism in Eukaryota, Metazoa, Chordata, Mammalia, Rodentia, Cricetidae.